Long non-coding RNA from Hemicordylus capensis (graceful crag lizard), 185 nucleotides. RefSeq lists it as uncharacterized. The transcript has 3 exons. NCBI's taxonomy places the organism in Eukaryota, Metazoa, Chordata, Lepidosauria, Squamata, Cordylidae. The record is from RefSeq and is a predicted model, not a curated record.
GGGAACCCUUGCGGCCCUCCCACCCCUGGUGGCUACAGCAAGCCCCCCGAAGGGGCUAUAGUUGCCGCACAUCAACACUUUCAAUGAUCCAUCUGCCCAAGAAGAGAAGAGGGAUCGUCUGCCCGGAGUGUAAAGCCAACACAGAAGCAAUGGAAAUAAUCCACGAAUGAGGUGGCAUUUAUAGC